GACGAACGCUGGCGGUGUGCCUAAUACAUGCAAGUCGACCUUAGUGGCGGACGGGUGAGUAACACGUGGGUAACCUACCGAUAAGCGGGGGACAACAUCCGGAAACGGGUGCUAAUACCGCAUCCUUAUCGAUGGCCUUGCGGUUCAUUAGCUCGUUGGUGGGGUAACGGCCGACCAAGGCAAUGAUGCAUAGCCGACCUGAGGGGGUAAUCGGGCACAUGUGGACUGAGACACGGCCCAAACUCCUAAGGGAGGCAGCAGUGGGGAAUCUUCCGGAAGGGGCGCAAGCCUGACGGAGGAACGCCGCGUGAUUGAAGAAGGUUUUCGGAUCGUAAAGCUCUGUUGUAAGAGAAGCGGUAUCUUACCAGAAAGCCACGGCUAACUACGUGCCAGCAGCCGCGGUAAUAC
RNAcentral lists this ribosomal RNA (408 nucleotides) under uncultured bacterium. Its description in RNAcentral is "partial 16S ribosomal RNA". It matches the Rfam family "Bacterial small subunit ribosomal RNA", at positions 28 to 526 of the family's 1533-position model. The record is from RNAcentral.